Molecule: ribosomal RNA, 513 nt
Filed under: Triticum aestivum (bread wheat)
Lineage: Eukaryota; Viridiplantae; Streptophyta; Magnoliopsida; Poales; Poaceae
Description: partial small subunit ribosomal RNA
Source: RNAcentral
ACCAAUUUUGAUUCAGGCAAUGGUGAAGAUGCUGCUGCAGAUGAUGACUCCUGGUGUGAUGCUUCAGAUUCUCCAGGGCAUGAUUCCAGCUUACACAGAGAAUGGACCCACAGGCAGGACCAGUUUCAUAAGAUGGGCUAUAGGGAUGGUAUAACAGAAGGGCAGAAGGAUGUUGCCCAAGAGGGGUUCAACCUUGGGCAUAGGCAAUCUGCGCAUGUUGGAUACAAGUGGGGUCUCGUUCGGGGGAUCACUAGUGCAUUAGCUAGUCUUCCUGACAGUCUAAAAGAAAAGUUGAUGCGCGAUGCCCAGCGUAGAGGAAAACUUGAAGAUUUGCACAACUUCGUGCUAGAAAUUUCAGCACAGGGUGCGCUGCAACUGUUUCACGAGAGUACACUUCAGGAUAAUCGUCGACCAGAGGAAAGCAUGCUCCAAACAAUUACAAAGGACCUUCUACUGUUGUUGCAUGAAUGCCCAGAUGUUCAUGUUAGUGAAGAGUUGAAACGAGUUCCAUAA